UUUUACAUAAAAUCAUAAUUUUUAAUUGUAAGUUGUUUUUUUUUGAGAGAAAGGCAGCGAGAUACCUGCUUUAUUCAUUAAGAGGGAUGAACUAGUCUUACAGGAUAUAUGCAGCUAAGGCAUCCGAGGAAAAGACAAGAAGGAGAGAAAGAAAAGAAUGAAAAAGAAAAAGAGAAGAACAUGAGAAGAUCCACGCUCAGCAGAAAUUGCUCCAGUUGGAAACGAAAACUUUGAUACGGUCAAGCGAGCGCAGAGGGUCGAGGGAAGUUGCUUGGAAGAUAGACUUGUUUCGCUC
This 295-nucleotide long non-coding RNA is filed under the name Ananas comosus (pineapple). RNAcentral describes it as "long non-coding RNA (ACOM_LNC009548)". The record is from RNAcentral. Lineage: Eukaryota; Viridiplantae; Streptophyta; Magnoliopsida; Poales; Bromeliaceae.